CAGCCCUUAUUUUAUUUUGUCUGAUUUUUGGACUUUUAAAAUUUAAAAAGACAAAUACACAUACUGUAGUUUUGGUUUCAUUGAACAACCCUUUCCUCCGCUAGUCUUGUCUGCCUUCUUCCGCAUCUCUCUUGUCUUGAAUCCGUUAAAAACAUGAUUGAUCCCUCGCAGGCCCGGCUUAGAGGGUGUGCCGUUGGUGCUAGUGCACAGGGUUUAGUAGACUUACUAGGCCAAACAAUUUUUAGAGGUGGAAGUACACCACUUAAUUUGAUGCUGAUCGUCGGAGACAUCUCAAGACAUAUACAGGGUUAUUGAGGGCUAUUCGCGUUUUGGU
Molecule: long non-coding RNA, 334 nt
Organism: Arabidopsis thaliana (thale cress)
Lineage: Eukaryota; Viridiplantae; Streptophyta; Magnoliopsida; Brassicales; Brassicaceae
Product: other RNA
Exons: 2
Source: RefSeq